Molecule: ribosomal RNA, 456 nt
Filed under: Pseudohoratia ochridana
Lineage: Eukaryota; Metazoa; Mollusca; Gastropoda; Littorinimorpha; Hydrobiidae
Description: partial 16S ribosomal RNA
Rfam family: Bacterial large subunit ribosomal RNA
Source: RNAcentral
AUUAAUAUAAAGAGUCGAACCUGCCCAAUGAUAUUUUUAAAUGGCCGCGGUACUCUGACCGUGCAAAGGUAGCAUAAUCAUUUGCCUUAUAAUUGAAGGCUAGUAUGAACGGUUUGACAAGAGUAGCACUGUCUCUACUAAAUUUUAUAGAAUUUGGUUUUAAGGUGAAGAAACCUAAAUUAAAAUUGAAAGACAAGAAGACCCUAUCGAGCUUUAAAAAAUUUUUCUUAAAAAUUUUAGUUGGGGCGACUAAGGAACAAUAAAAGCUUCUUUUUUAUUUAUAAACUUAUAUGUUUUGAUCCAAAAAAUGAUUUAAUAGAAUUAGUUACCGUAGGGAUAACAGCAUAAUCUUUUUUGAGAGUUCUUAUCGAAAAAAAGGUUUGUGACCUCGAUGUUGGACUAGGAUAUCCUUAAGGUGUAGAAGCCUUUAAAGGUUGGUCUGUUCGACCAUUAACA